RNAcentral lists this ribosomal RNA (2930 nucleotides) under Escherichia coli. RNAcentral's name for it is "bacterial LSU rRNA". It matches the Rfam family "Bacterial large subunit ribosomal RNA". Lineage: Bacteria; Pseudomonadati; Pseudomonadota; Gammaproteobacteria; Enterobacterales; Enterobacteriaceae. The record is from RNAcentral.
GGGUUGUGAGGUUAAGCGACUAAGCGUACACGGUGGAUGCCCUGGCAGUCAGAGGCGAUGAAGGACGUGCUAAUCUGCGAUAAGCGUCGGUAAGGUGAUAUGAACCGUUAUAACCGGCGAUUUCCGAAUGGGGAAACCCAGUGUGUUUCGACACACUAUCAUUAACUGAAUCCAUAGGUUAAUGAGGCGAACCGGGGGAACUGAAACAUCUAAGUACCCCGAGGAAAAGAAAUCAACCGAGAUUCCCCCAGUAGCGGCGAGCGAACGGGGAGCAGCCCAGAGCCUGAAUCAGUGUGUGUGUUAGUGGAAGCGUCUGGAAAGGCGCGCGAUACAGGGUGACAGCCCCGUACACAAAAAUGCACAUGCUGUGAGCUCGAUGAGUAGGGCGGGACACGUGGUAUCCUGUCUGAAUAUGGGGGGACCAUCCUCCAAGGCUAAAUACUCCUGACUGACCGAUAGUGAACCAGUACCGUGAGGGAAAGGCGAAAAGAACCCCGGCGAGGGGAGUGAAAAAGAACCUGAAACCGUGUACGUACAAGCAGUGGGAGCACGCUUAGGCGUGUGACUGCGUACCUUUUGUAUAAUGGGUCAGCGACUUAUAUUCUGUAGCAAGGUUAACCGAAUAGGGGAGCCGAAGGGAAACCGAGUCUUAACUGGGCGUUAAGUUGCAGGGUAUAGACCCGAAACCCGGUGAUCUAGCCAUGGGCAGGUUGAAGGUUGGGUAACACUAACUGGAGGACCGAACCGACUAAUGUUGAAAAAUUAGCGGAUGACUUGUGGCUGGGGGUGAAAGGCCAAUCAAACCGGGAGAUAGCUGGUUCUCCCCGAAAGCUAUUUAGGUAGCGCCUCGUGAAUUCAUCUCCGGGGGUAGAGCACUGUUUCGGCAAGGGGGUCAUCCCGACUUACCAACCCGAUGCAAACUGCGAAUACCGGAGAAUGUUAUCACGGGAGACACACGGCGGGUGCUAACGUCCGUCGUGAAGAGGGAAACAACCCAGACCGCCAGCUAAGGUCCCAAAGUCAUGGUUAAGUGGGAAACGAUGUGGGAAGGCCCAGACAGCCAGGAUGUUGGCUUAGAAGCAGCCAUCAUUUAAAGAAAGCGUAAUAGCUCACUGGUCGAGUCGGCCUGCGCGGAAGAUGUAACGGGGCUAAACCAUGCACCGAAGCUGCGGCAGCGACGCUUAUGCGUUGUUGGGUAGGGGAGCGUUCUGUAAGCCUGUGAAGGUGUGCUGUGAGGCAUGCUGGAGGUAUCAGAAGUGCGAAUGCUGACAUAAGUAACGAUAAAGCGGGUGAAAAGCCCGCUCGCCGGAAGACCAAGGGUUCCUGUCCAACGUUAAUCGGGGCAGGGUGAGUCGACCCCUAAGGCGAGGCCGAAAGGCGUAGUCGAUGGGAAACAGGUUAAUAUUCCUGUACUUGGUGUUACUGCGAAGGGGGGACGGAGAAGGCUAUGUUGGCCGGGCGACGGUUGUCCCGGUUUAAGCGUGUAGGCUGGUUUUCCAGGCAAAUCCGGAAAAUCAAGGCUGAGGCGUGAUGACGAGGCACUACGGUGCUGAAGCAACAAAUGCCCUGCUUCCAGGAAAAGCCUCUAAGCAUCAGGUAACAUCAAAUCGUACCCCAAACCGACACAGGUGGUCAGGUAGAGAAUACCAAGGCGCUUGAGAGAACUCGGGUGAAGGAACUAGGCAAAAUGGUGCCGUAACUUCGGGAGAAGGCACGCUGAUAUGUAGGUGAAGUCCCUUGCGGAUGGAGCUGAAAUCAGUCGAAGAUACCAGCUGGCUGCAACUGUUUAUUAAAAACACAGCACUGUGCAAACACGAAAGUGGACGUAUACGGUGUGACGCCUGCCCGGUGCCGGAAGGUUAAUUGAUGGGGUCAGCGCAAGCGAAGCUCUUGAUCGAAGCCCCGGUAAACGGCGGCCGUAACUAUAACGGUCCUAAGGUAGCGAAAUUCCUUGUCGGGUAAGUUCCGACCUGCACGAAUGGCGUAAUGAUGGCCAGGCUGUCUCCACCCGAGACUCAGUGAAAUUGAACUCGCUGUGAAGAUGCAGUGUACCCGCGGCAAGACGGAAAGACCCCGUGAACCUUUACUAUAGCUUGACACUGAACAUUGAGCCUUGAUGUGUAGGAUAGGUGGGAGGCUUUGAAGUGUGGACGCCAGUCUGCAUGGAGCCGACCUUGAAAUACCACCCUUUAAUGUUUGAUGUUCUAACGUUGACCCGUAAUCCGGGUUGCGGACAGUGUCUGGUGGGUAGUUUGACUGGGGCGGUCUCCUCCUAAAGAGUAACGGAGGAGCACGAAGGUUGGCUAAUCCUGGUCGGACAUCAGGAGGUUAGUGCAAUGGCAUAAGCCAGCUUGACUGCGAGCGUGACGGCGCGAGCAGGUGCGAAAGCAGGUCAUAGUGAUCCGGUGGUUCUGAAUGGAAGGGCCAUCGCUCAACGGAUAAAAGGUACUCCGGGGAUAACAGGCUGAUACCGCCCAAGAGUUCAUAUCGACGGCGGUGUUUGGCACCUCGAUGUCGGCUCAUCACAUCCUGGGGCUGAAGUAGGUCCCAAGGGUAUGGCUGUUCGCCAUUUAAAGUGGUACGCGAGCUGGGUUUAGAACGUCGUGAGACAGUUCGGUCCCUAUCUGCCGUGGGCGCUGGAGAACUGAGGGGGGCUGCUCCUAGUACGAGAGGACCGGAGUGGACGCAUCACUGGUGUUCGGGUUGUCAUGCCAAUGGCACUGCCCGGUAGCUAAAUGCGGAAGAGAUAAGUGCUGAAAGCAUCUAAGCACGAAACUUGCCCCGAGAUGAGUUCUCCCUGACUCCUUGAGAGUCCUGAAGGAACGUUGAAGACGACGACGUUGAUAGGCCGGGUGUGUAAGCGCAGCGAUGCGUUGAGCUAACCGGUACUAAUGAACCGUGAGGCUUAACCUUACAACGCCGAAGCUGUU